UAUUGUGGACCAUAGGAUGAAAGUAAGCCUAAAAAGGAAAAAACCCUAAAAGAGACUCAUUCUCUCCAUCAGCCAUCAGACAUCAAUCCUCUCCAAGACUCCAAAGCCGCCACGACUCAAAGCUUCAGCCUUCAGGUAAGCUUCAAGAGUACAAGACUGUCGACUCUCACUCUCAUUCUUGUAGUUCAAAGUGGCAAAGCCGCUUCGGAUCACCUACCUCGCGGUCUCAGCUCGCGGCUCCAGCGUCGGCUUCAAUGCUUCAGGUACAAAAAGAUGGAAGAAAAUCUUCGUUGUAGUACUGCAUCAGCUCCUACUCCUAGGACAACUGAUUUUUUCACUCGAAUCACUCCUACUAAUGAGGAUUACCCAUGUAUGCCAGCUAGUUUGUGGAAAAAGAGAAGGAAAAAGAUAAGGAAGAGAAAAAGAAACAGAAAGAAAUUGAGAAACGGGAUAAAAAAGAUGGUUGUGUGGAUGUAGGACCUUCUCAACCUAAGUGUCGGAAAACUACAUCCGUAGUUUGGAAUGAUUUUGAAAGGGUAGUUCAUGCUGAUAAUAGGGUGACAGCCACAUGCAAAUAUUGUAAAAGGGUUUUUAAUAGUGCAAGUACCAUAGGCACAACUCAUUUGAAUAUCCAUAGAAAAACUUAUUAUAGAAGGACUCUGAGAGACAUUGGCCAGCAACUUUUAUCACUAACAAUGAGUCCUUUUGAGUCACCUAAGUUGGCAAACUACAAGUGUGAUGCUGAGCUUACCAGAAAGAGUUUUGCUCAGAUGAUUGCCAAGCAUGGCUAUCCGUUCAACAUGGCUGAGCAUGAAUAUUUUUAGAUGUAUGCAAGUAGUUUGAAUCACUUGGAUAAAUUCUAUUCAAGAAAUACAGUGAGGAAGGAUGUAAUAGAUGUAUUUUAAGAGGAGAAAGAGAAAUUAUAUGCAACUUUGGAUAAAUUGUCUUCUAGUGUCAGUUUUACUACAGAUUUGUGGACAGCAGAUCAUCAGAACCUUGGGUAUUGUGUUCUUACAUGCCAUUACAUAGAUGGGGAAUGGAACUUGAAGAAGAAGAUUCUUUCUUAUAAGAUGCUUCCAUCACCCCAUACUGAAGAGGCUGUUAGUGAGCACAUCAAAACCCAACUUUUGGAAUGAAAUGUAGAUAAGAAAGUUUGUUCCAUUGCAGUGGAUAAUGCAUCCACCAAUGAUGUUAUGACCAAUCAUCUAAAGCAAUGGAUAGGUCGUAAAGGAGCUUUGUUACAUAGGGGUCAGUUUUUUCAUGUACGUUGUAUGGCACAUAUUUUAAAUCUUAUUAUUCAAGAUGGAUUGGUGGAACUAAGAGAUGCAUUAGGAAAGAUUCGGAAAAUGGUUAAGUGGGUGAAUUCAUCACCGUCCAGAUUUGAAAGAUGGGGGAAUGCAUUGUCUUAGUGUAGAUUGUCCAUUAAAAAAAAUCUCUUUAGAUGUUCCAAUAAUGUGGAAUUCUACUUAUGAAAUGCUCCAAAAUGCUUUGGAGUUGAGAGAAGCAUUUGAACGUUUGGCUGAACUGGAUCAAAAUUUCAAUAUAUUGCUAACUGGAGAGGAAUGAGAGAAGUGCAGAAAAAUUAUGCGGUGCUUAGCAAUUUUUUAUGAUGCCACAAAGCACAUUUCAGGAAGUAAGUAUCCUACUGCAAACUUUUUCUUUAAGGAUGUCAAUGAGAUUCAUUAUACUUUGUUUCUUUGGGAGAUGAGCAGUGAUAAUUGUAUCUGUUCUAUGGCUGUUGCCAUGAAAUUAAAGUUUAAAGAGUAUUGGAGGAACACAAGUUUGUUGAUGGUGCUUGGGGUUAUUCUUGAUCCUCGUUACAAGAUAGAGCUCAUUAUAUUUGCAAUGAAUAAGAUUUAUAGGAAUGAUUCUGAUCUAUAUGUUAUUAAGAUCCAAUUUGAUGUGGUUGACAUUUAUUCUGAAUAUGCCAGUAAAUAUGAUGAUCCAUGUGUCCUUACAUCUAGUGAUUGCUCUGAUCGUGUUAGUGGUGAUGUGAAGGAUUCUUGUGAUCAAAGUUCUGACUCAAAAGUUGGUUCACUCCAGUGGGGUAGUGAGUUCAAGGUAUUCGCAAGACAUCGUAUUGGAGGUUCUAAGAAAGGCAAAAUGACUGAAUUGGAUUUGUAUCUAGAUGAGAGUUUAUUUCUCAUUGAAGAGAACGAGGAUGAGAAUGACUUUGAUAUUUUCCAAUGAUGGAAAAACUAUGGUUGCAAGUUUUCAAUUUUUUCUACAAUGGCUCGAGAUAUCUUGUUACUUUCAGAGAUUGUGGAAGCUCUAAUUUGCUUGAAAGAUUGGUUGCCAUUAUUUAAAUCUGUUUUCACUGUGGAUGAAUGAGCAUGAAUGUGAAUUUUGGAGUAGUUUUGGAUGUUGGUGGAAACAAUCUUCUCACAUUUUGAGGUGAAGCCAUCUCUGGUGGGAACAUGCUGAUGGAUGUUUCGUAUUUCGGCGUCCCCAUCCACAAGGAGACCAUGACCUUUGUGGAGAAACAUCAUGCCCUGUUUCACUUGGCAUUGUCAUCCUCUUUUGGGUCGGAAAGAAGAUUAGUUGAGUUCAGUUGGUCAGGAUGGAUUUAUGUAGUUAUUGGAGUACCAAGUGUUUAUUUUUUUAAGAUAAAUCUACACUCUAUGUCUCAUAUCUUCUCAACAUUUGAACCAAAAACAAAUUUUGAUUAGGCUCUUAAAGUUGGCUUUUGUUGUGAUUCUAGGCUAUGUGAUUCUAAACUAAAUUGCUUAAAUUGAUUUAUGUAUUUAUUGCGA
Molecule: long non-coding RNA, 2753 nt
Organism: Macadamia integrifolia
Lineage: Eukaryota; Viridiplantae; Streptophyta; Magnoliopsida; Proteales; Proteaceae
Exons: 5
Source: RefSeq, a predicted model, not a curated record